GACGAACGCUGGCGGCGUGCUUAACACAUGCAAGUCGAACGAUGAAGAAGAGAAACGCGAACUUCGGUUCAAAUUUCACUUCGGAUUAGUGGCAGACGGGUGAGUAACGCGUGAGCAACCUACCUCUUACAAAGGGAUAGCCUCGGGAAACCGUGAUUAAUACCAUAUGACACAUUCAUAAGGCAUCUUAAGAAUGUUAAAGCUACGGCGGUAAGAGAUGGGCUCGCGACCCAUUAGCUAGUUGGUGAGGUAACGGCCCACCAAGGCGACGAUGGGUAACCGGCCUGAGAGGGUGAACGGUCACAUUGGAACUGAGACACGGUCCAAACUCCUACGGGAGGCAGCAGUGGGGAAUAUUGCACAAUGGAGGGAACUCUGAUGCAGCGACGCCGCGUGAGCGAUGAAGGAAUUCGUUUCGUAAAGCUCUGUUCUAUGGGAAGAAAAGGACUGUACCAUAGGAGAAAGCCCCGGCUAAAUACGUG
RNAcentral lists this ribosomal RNA (482 nucleotides) under uncultured bacterium. RNAcentral's name for it is "partial 16S ribosomal RNA". It matches the Rfam family "Bacterial small subunit ribosomal RNA", at positions 28 to 507 of the family's 1533-position model. The record is from RNAcentral.